GAGGGUAUAGCUCAGUGGUGGAGCACAUGCCUAGCAUGCAUGAGGCCCUGGUUCAAUUCCCAGUGCCUCCA
Molecule: transfer RNA, 71 nt
Filed under: Camelus dromedarius (Arabian camel)
Lineage: Eukaryota; Metazoa; Chordata; Mammalia; Artiodactyla; Camelidae
Also listed under: 1 other name
Rfam family: tRNA
About the family: Transfer RNA (tRNA) molecules are approximately 80 nucleotides in length. Their secondary structure includes four short double-helical elements and three loops (D, anti-codon, and T loops).
Source: Rfam by way of RNAcentral